UAAUACAGAGGGUGCGAGCGUUGUCCGGAAUCACUGGGCGUAAAGGGCGCGUAGGUGGCCUGGUAAGUAGGGGGUGAAAUCUCGAGGCUCAACUUCGAGGCUGCCUCCUAAACUGUCAGGCUUGAGCAGAGUAGAGGCAGGUGGAAUUCCCGGUGUAGCGGUGGAAUGCGUAGAGAUCGGGAAGAACAUCGGUGGCGAAGGCGGCCUGCUGGGCUCUUGCUGACACUGAGGCGCGACAGCGUGGGGAGCAAACAGGAUUAGAUACCCUGGUAGUCCACGCCGUAAACGAUGGGUACUAGGCGCCGGGGGGAGCGACCCCUUCGGUGCCGUCGCUAACGCAAUAAGUACCCCGCCUGGGGAGUACGGCCGCAAGGCUG
Molecule: ribosomal RNA, 377 nt
Filed under: uncultured bacterium
Lineage: Bacteria
Description: bacterial SSU rRNA
Rfam family: Bacterial small subunit ribosomal RNA
Source: RNAcentral